GGCUGGGUCUGAAGGUAGUUAUCUCAGUUGAUUGUUCACAGUCAGUUACAGGUUGAAUUCCUUGUUCCGCUCUUACCCCGUUCUCACUACUCGACUAGCCUAAA
Macaca nemestrina (pig-tailed macaque) is the source of this 104-nucleotide unclassified non-coding RNA. It matches the Rfam family "Y RNA". From Rfam's summary of the family: Y RNAs are components of the Ro ribonucleoprotein particle (Ro RNP), in association with Ro60 and La proteins. The Y RNAs and Ro60 and La proteins are well conserved, but the function of the Ro RNP is not known. The record is from Ensembl. NCBI's taxonomy places the organism in Eukaryota, Metazoa, Chordata, Mammalia, Primates, Cercopithecidae.